Molecule: ribosomal RNA, 848 nt
Filed under: Ragnhildiana pseudotithoniae
Lineage: Eukaryota; Fungi; Ascomycota; Dothideomycetes; Mycosphaerellales; Mycosphaerellaceae
Description: partial large subunit ribosomal RNA
Rfam family: Eukaryotic large subunit ribosomal RNA
Source: RNAcentral
AGGGAUUGCCCUAGUAACGGCGAGUGAAGCGGCAACAGCUCAAAUUUGAAAUCUGGCGCAAGCCCGAGUUGUAAUUUGUAGAGGAUGCUUCUGGCCAGCGGCCGUUCUAAGUUCCUUGGAACAGGACGUCAUAGAGGGUGAGAAUCCCGUAUGUGACCGGCGCGCAGCCUUUACGUAGCUCCUUCGACGAGUCGAGUUGUUUGGGAAUGCAGCUCUAAAUGGGAGGUAAAUUUCUUCUAAAGCUAAAUACCGGCCAGAGACCGAUAGCGCACAAGUAGAGUGAUCGAAAGAUGAAAAGCACUUUGGAAAGAGAGUUAAAAAGCACGUGAAAUUGUUGAAAGGGAAGCGCUUGCAACCAGACUUCGUAGCGGUGUUCCGCCGGUCUUCUGACCGGUCCACUCAUCGUCGCGAGGCCAACAUCGUCUGGGACCGCUGGAUAAGACCUAAGGAAUGUAGCUUCCCUCGGGAAGUGUUAUAGCCUGUGGUGAUGCAGCGCGUCUCGGGCGAGGUCCGCGCUUCGGCAAGGAUGUUGGCGUAAUGGUUGUCAGCGGCCCGUCUUGAAACACGGACCAAGGAGUCUAACAUCUAUGCGAGUGUUCGGGUGUCAAACCCCUACGCGUAAUGAAAGUGAACGGAGGUGGGAAGCGCAAGCUGCACCAUCGACCGAUCCUGAUGUCCUCGGAUGGAUUUGAGUAAGAGCAUAGCUGUUGGGACCCGAAAGAUGGUGAACUAUGCCUGAAUAGGGUGAAGCCAGAGGAAACUCUGGUGGAGGCUCGCAGCGGUUCUGACGUGCAAAUCGAUCGUCAAAUUUGGGUAUAGGGGCGAAAGACUAAUCGAACCAUCUAGUA